This 2202-nucleotide ribosomal RNA is filed under the name marine metagenome. Its description in RNAcentral is "eukaryotic LSU rRNA". It matches the Rfam family "Eukaryotic large subunit ribosomal RNA", at positions 323 to 2360 of the family's 3401-position model. RNAcentral also lists the same sequence under 1 other name. The record is from RNAcentral.
UGACCCCGAGACCGAUAGCGAACAAGUACCGUGAGGGAAAGUUGAAAAGCACUUUGAAGAGAGAGUUCAAGAGUACGUGAAACCGCUUAGUAGUAAACAGAGGGACUCUCGAAGUCGGCGGUGACGGUUCAGGGUGACGGCGGGGCGGCCUGGGGGCGUGGGAUCCGCAAGGACCCUGUCCCUUUGUCAGCUCUGUCGGCGCCUGCACUUCGUUGCCGCCAUACGCGAUGAACCGUUUCUGGCGGACCGAGGGCGUGGGUGAAGUUUGUUGGCCUCGGCUUUCAAGCCCCGCGUUCCUGGCUCUGUCGGGGACGGGUAGUAGAGCGAUCUCUUAUAGAGAGUGCCCUUGCUGGCACGGUUCGCAUCUCUAUCGCGAGUAGGUCGGCGGUCCCUCUGACCCGUCUUGAAACACGGACCAAGGAGUUUAACAUGUGCGCGAGCCAUUGGGUGUUCGAAACCCAAAGGCGCAGUGAAAGCAAAGUCUGACUUGUCAGAUGAGGGGUGAUCCUUCACGGGCGCAACCCCGGAGCUUCGCAUCGACCUCGCUUCGUGCGGAGCAUCAAGAGCGUACACGUUGAGACCCGAAAGAUGGUGAACUAUGCCUGGCCAGGUUGAAGUCAGGGGAAACCCUGAUGGAGGACCGUAGCGAUUCUGACGUGCAAAUCGAUCGUCGGAGCUGGGUAUAGGGGCGAAAGACUAAUCGAACCAUCUAGUAGCUGGUUCCUUCCGAAGUUUCCCUCAGGAUAGCUGGUGCUCGUAAUCGAGUUUCAUCCGGUAAAGCGAAUGAUUAGAAGUAUUGGGGGCGAAACGCCCUCAACUUAUUCUCAAACUUUAAAUGGGUGAGAAGCGGGACUUGCUUAAUUGAAGCCUCGCAACGAAUCGGAGUGCCUAGUGGGCCAUUUUUGGUAAGCAGAACUGGCGCUGUGGGAUGAACCGAACGUUGAGUUAAAGUGCCAAAGUGUGCGCUCAUCAGAUCCCAUGAAAGGUGUUGGUUGCUUAAGACAGCAGGACGGUGGCCAUGGAAGUCGGAAUCCGCUAAGGAGUGUGUAACAACUCACCUGCCGAAGCAACUAGCCCUGAAAAUGGAUGGCGCUAAAGCGCGCCACUUAUACUCAACCGUUGGAGCAGAGCCGGCUCUUUGCAGCCCUGACGCUCCAACGAGUAGGAAGGUCGCGUGGGUGGCGCCGAAGGCUUUUGGGUGUGAACCUGGCCGGAGCCGCCCACGGUGCAGAUCUUGGUGGUAGUAGCAAAUACUCCAGAGAGGCCCUGGAGGACCGAUGUGGAGAAGGGUUUCGUGUGAACAGCCGUUGAACACGAGUCAGUCGAUCCUAAGGCUUAGGGGAAACCUUAAUCAAGCGUGCGGCGUUUCGACUGUGAAACCGCAACUUGGCCGAAAGGGAAUUUGGUCCUUAUUCCAAAACCUGGCCGUGGAACCGUUUCGGAAUCUCGCAUUCCGUCGUGGCAACGCGACACGACUGGGAGACGCCCACCGAAGCUCUGGGAAGAGUUGUCUUUUCUGCAUAAGCCGCCGAGGCCCUGGAAUCCUCUCGCAGGGCGAACGGGUUUUGGUUUUGGCGAAGAUCCUCGCAGUUCUCGCGAGGACCACGAGUGGUCGGUGGGACCUUGAAAAUCCCAGGGAGAUUACGGCGGACUCACGCCAGCUCGUACCCAUAUCCGCAGCAGGUCUCCAAGGUGAACAGCCUCUGGUCGAUAGAAUAAUGUAGGUAAGGGAAGUCGGCAAAUUGGAUCCGUAACUUCGGGAUAAGGAUUGGCUCUGAGGGUUGGGGCGGUCGGGCUUUGCACAGGAAGCGGCUGCGUCCACCGGCGGGCCUGGGCAAGUCCCACGAGGGUCGAACCCGGUCCCGUUCACGGGCCUCCGUGGAUUGUCAUUGCUUUGCGGGCUCGGCUUCGCGGCCGAUGUCCCGUUCGGUCGUCAAUCAACAACCAACUCAGAACUGGCACGGACAAGGGGAAUCCGACUGUCUAAUUAAAACAAAGCAUUGCGAUGGUCAGAGAGUGAUGUUGACGCAAUGUGAUUUCUGCCCAGUGCUCUGAAUGUCAAAGUGAAGAGAUUCGUCCAAGCGCGGGUAAACGGCGGGAGUAACUAUGACUCUCUUAAGGUAGCCAAAUGCCUCGUCAUCUAAUUAGUGACGCGCAUGAAUGGAUUAACGAGAUUCCCACUGUCCCUAUCUACUAUCUAGC